UACGUAGGGGGCUAGCGUUGUCCGGAUUUAUUGGGCGUAAAGAGCGUGUAGGCGGCCAUGUAGGUCCGGUGUGAAAACUCGAGGCUUAACCUCGAGAUGUCAUCGGAAACCAUUUGGCUAGAGUCCGGAAGAGGAGAGUGAAAUUCCUGGUGUAGCGGUGAAAUGCGCAGAUAUCAGGAAGAACACCAAUGGCGAAAGCAGCUCUCUGGGACGGUACUGACGCUGAGACGCGAAAGCGUGGGGAGCGAACAGG
This 253-nucleotide ribosomal RNA is filed under the name uncultured bacterium. Its description in RNAcentral is "partial 16S ribosomal RNA". It matches the Rfam family "Bacterial small subunit ribosomal RNA", at positions 524 to 776 of the family's 1533-position model. The record is from RNAcentral.